GGACCCGCACAAGCGGUGGAGCAUGUGGAUUAAUUCGAUACUAACCGAAGAACCUUACCCAGGUUUGACAUUGAUGGUAAGCCCGAGAGAUCGGGCCCUCCCCCACAAGGGGACCUGAAAACAGAUGUUGCAUGGCUGUCGUCAGCUCGUGCCGUGAGGUGUGCGGUUAAGUCCGUAAACGAGCGCAACCCUCGUCUUAUGUUGCCAGCGAGAAAGUCGGGAACUCAUAAGAGACCGCCGGUGUAAGCCGGAGGAAGGUGGGGAUGAUGUCAAGUCAGCAUGGCUCUUACGCCUGGGGCUUCACACAUGCUACAAUGGACGCAACAGAGGGCAGCAAUACCGCGAGGUGGAGCCAACCCCAAAAAUACGUCCCCAGUUCAGAUUGCAGUCUGCAACUCGACUGCAUGAAGGCGGAAUCGCUAGUAAACGCAGGUCAGCUAUACUGCGUUGAAUACGUUCCCGGGUCUU
This 468-nucleotide ribosomal RNA is filed under the name uncultured bacterium. Its description in RNAcentral is "bacterial SSU rRNA". It matches the Rfam family "Bacterial small subunit ribosomal RNA", at positions 917 to 1382 of the family's 1533-position model. The record is from RNAcentral.